UACGAAGGGGGCUAGCGUUGUUCGGAAUUACUGGGCGUAAAGCGCGCGCAGGCGGUUCUUCAAGUCAGAGGUGAAAGCCCAGAGCUCAACUCUGGAAUGGCCUUUGAGACUAGAGAACUAGGGUACGGGAGAGGAGAGUGGAAUUCCCGGUGUAGCGGUGAAAUGCGCAGAUAUCGGGAAGAACACCUAUGGCGAAGGCAGCUCUCUGGGACGGUACUGACGCUGAGACGCGAAAGCGUGGGGAGCGAACAGG
RNAcentral lists this ribosomal RNA (253 nucleotides) under uncultured bacterium. Its description in RNAcentral is "partial 16S ribosomal RNA". It matches the Rfam family "Bacterial small subunit ribosomal RNA", at positions 524 to 776 of the family's 1533-position model. The record is from RNAcentral.